Molecule: small nuclear RNA, 18 nt
Filed under: Arabidopsis thaliana (thale cress)
Lineage: Eukaryota; Viridiplantae; Streptophyta; Magnoliopsida; Brassicales; Brassicaceae
Description: snRNA_03036
Source: RNAcentral
UGAUUUAGUUAGAAUCAA